Non-coding RNA from Myodes glareolus (Bank vole), 444 nucleotides. NCBI's taxonomy places the organism in Eukaryota, Metazoa, Chordata, Mammalia, Rodentia, Cricetidae. The record is from RefSeq and is a predicted model, not a curated record.
AUCAGCAAGCUGGCUGGGCAGCCCGGGCCCCACAUUUGCUUAAGUGAAUGUUGUCUAUGAACCUUCCGUGGUGCUGAAGAGACUCAGCAGGUCAACAUGGCCCUGUCACAGAGGUUUGUCCUUACGGGGAGGACAAUGACAGGCUGGACUUUGGCAGGUGCAUGGGUUGUGCGGAGGCCACACCUGGUUCAGUAUACACAGCACAGAGAUGCACAGGACCACAGCUCUGAACUGCCCUUUUGGAAGAUAGCUGGGGAGCAUGAGUACUUUUGGAACAGGAUGAGUGUUUGGGGUUGCCAUGAAGGUUGCAUUUCGUGACACACUAAUGCCACCAGGCCACUAGGAAAUGCAGAGCGCUUUCCAUUCCUGCACAUUGUGGACGCCUGCUGCUCAUUCUGGGACAGACACACGAGUCCCUGUUCUCUCCAGGGAACUCCGUGCUUA